AACGAACGCUGGCGGCGUGCCUAAUACAUGCAAGUCGAACGAGAAAGUGUCUUCGGACAUUAGUAAAGUGGCAGACGGGUGAGUAAUACAUAGGUAACUUACCCUCAAGUUGGGGAUAACUUUCCGAAAGGAGAGCUAAUACCAAAUAAGACCACAGUUGCUUCGGCAACAGGGGAAAAAGAUGGCCUCCACUUGUAAGCUAUCGCUUGAGGAUAGGCUUAUGCACCAUUAGCUAGUUGGUGAGGUAAUGGCUCACCAAAGCUAUGAUGGUUAGCUGAUCUGAGAGGUUGAUCAGCCACACUGGAACUGAGACACGGUCCAGACUCCUACGGGAGGCAGCAGUAGGGAAUAUUGCGCAAUGGAGGAAACUCUGACGCGGCGACGCCGCGUGGGUGAUGAAGGCCUUCGGGUCGUAAAGCCCUGUCGGAAGGGAAGAAAAAUAAUUUGGCUAACAUCCAAGUUACUUGACGGUACCUUCAAAGGAAGCACCGGCUAACUACGUGCCAGCAGCCGCGGUAA
Molecule: ribosomal RNA, 519 nt
Filed under: uncultured bacterium
Lineage: Bacteria
Description: partial 16S ribosomal RNA
Rfam family: Bacterial small subunit ribosomal RNA
Source: RNAcentral